GGGGGCGACAGGUUUCGACGCAGAGACAGAAGCAUCAGUCGCGUGCCGAGGACCCCGGUCGGCCUCGUUAAACACCCGGGAAAUUAAGAUAAACGCUAAUAAUGAAUUAGCCCUCGCGGCUUAAUAAAGCCGUGACGCUUUGCUGUUGAACACCUGCUAGGCAGACAAAGCGUCGACAAGCAGGUUAGUUCCGUCGCUGAGCGACCGGACGCCGGAACGAAAUUUACGUUGGACGCUAGUUAAGGCAACGCCUGUCUGCCGGCCAAUGCUUUGACGAAUAUAAAAAGACAGAACACGCACGUAGAGACUGCUGUGACGCCUAUGCGGACGGGGGUUCAAAUCCCCCCGCCUCCAUUU
RNAcentral lists this transfer-messenger RNA (357 nucleotides) under Kiritimatiellia bacterium. It matches the Rfam family "transfer-messenger RNA". From Rfam's summary of the family: Bacterial tmRNA, also known as 10Sa RNA or SsrA, is named for its dual tRNA and mRNA-like properties. Its role is to liberate the mRNA from a stalled ribosome. To accomplish this part of the tmRNA is used as a reading frame that ends in a translation stop signal. The record is from RNAcentral. Lineage: Bacteria; Pseudomonadati; Kiritimatiellota; Kiritimatiellia.